AUGGCCAGGAUCAGGACGGAUCGAUCUCUGCGCCGGCGGCCGCAGCCGUCCCGCGGCGACGACCCGAUGAGCGCCCUCCCCGACGACCUUCUGCUCCUCGUCCUGCGCCGUCUCGACACCCGCUCGGCGCUCCGCACCGCGCUGCUGUCCACGCGCUGGGCCCGCCUCCACCGCGAGCUCCUCCUACUCGACUUCCGGGUCGGCAGCAUGCUCCCACCACGCUACCACAGAUUGGUCCUGCUCCGUCACGACAUAAACAUGCACAGAUCUUAUCUUCGGUACAGAAAGUCUGACCUCUCGCCCAAAAUCAAGAGGUACGAGCGCGGUGCCAUGCGCGCCCUGACCCGCUCCGUCGAGACCUUCUUGGACGACGAAGACAUCCGAGGAGCUCGCGGCAGCGUUAGCAUGCUGAGGCUCGAGUUCUUCAUCACCCACAACCCCGGCUGCAUGAACAGGCUAAUCGCCAGGUCCAUCGACGAUUGGGGGGUCAGAGACCUCGAGGCUGUUGCCAAGCCGAUCAACUUCCGGCAAUCCGUGCACACCUUCCCCGGCCACGGCCUCUGCCACGAUCCUCGCGCGUCGUGCCUGCGGAGCCUCAAGCUUGUAGGCUGCGCGCUCCCGCCGCUGCACGAGUUCGGCGCGCUCACCAUGCUUGUCCUCCAAGACAUUAAGGGAUCGACGCCCACGGCAGCCUACGAGGGCGUGCUCACCUUGUGUCCGCAGCUGCAGGUGCUGCAACUCAAGUCCUGCGAAUUCCCCCUGGAGGACACGGACCUGGUUGUGGACGCCCCCAGCUCGCAGAUCAGGGAGCUCGUCUUCAACAAGUGCAGGUUCGGACAGGUGCGGAUGAGGGCUCUUCCGAACCUCGAGAGCCUAGCCUCCCGGGACACCACGCUGCACUUUGAUCAGUCCGCCUUGUUUCCCUGCCUCAGGCAAUGCAACCACACCACUAGGGUCGGUCUCUUCCUCACAUCAGUAGGACAGCCACGCGUAUACAUUGGGCACCAGCUUGAGCUUGGCUCGUUCCUCGGGCGCACGCCCUACAUAACCAACCUCGUCCUACGGUUCACCGGACCAAGACGAUGGAUCGUGCCGCCGUCUGGCUCCUCGUCGCCCUUGUUGCCCCAGUUGAGGAAACUGCUCGUCGCCGACGUGCCUUCCUCCUGGGAUGUCUCGUGGCCAUGUCUCCUCCUCGAGAUGGCACCAUCCCUCGAGACCCUUCACAUCCAUAUCGCCCCUUGCAAUGAGAGGCCCGGGCAUGUGAUACCCUGGGAGCCCACCGAGCUUCGGCGGCAUCACUUGAAGGAGCUUGUGGUGGCUGGUUUUCAGGGAACGAAGAGGCAGAUUUGCUUUGUGAAGUUUGUCGUGGGAGUGUCGACGUCGUUGCGCCGUGUAGCCUUGUUCAGGAAUGGGCGUGCUGAGGACAAGGGGCACUGGGACUGGGAGAUGGUAACGGAGCAGCACUCAUGGACCAACAGGCAGAAGAACGCUACGCAGAAGAAGAUUAUGGAUGGGGUUUCUUUCUCCCGCCCUCCUCCGCAAUUUGUUUUUGGCUGA
This 1557-nucleotide ribosomal RNA is filed under the name Triticum aestivum (bread wheat). RNAcentral describes it as "partial small subunit ribosomal RNA". The record is from RNAcentral. Lineage: Eukaryota; Viridiplantae; Streptophyta; Magnoliopsida; Poales; Poaceae.